This 480-nucleotide ribosomal RNA is filed under the name uncultured bacterium. Its description in RNAcentral is "bacterial SSU rRNA". It matches the Rfam family "Bacterial small subunit ribosomal RNA", at positions 29 to 526 of the family's 1533-position model. The record is from RNAcentral.
AAUGAACGUUGGCGGCGUGGAUUAGGCAUGCAAGUCGAGCGAGAACCCGCAAGGGGGACAGCGGCAAACGGGGUAGUAAUGUGUCGGAACGUGCCCAGAGGACGGGGAUAGCGGCGGGAAACUGCCGGUAAUACCCGAUGAUCUCGAGAGAGCAAAGGUGUGAUUCCGCCUUUGGAGCGGCCGACAUGGUAUUAGCUAGUUGGCGGGGUAAUGGCCCACCAAGGCUGUGAUGCCUAGGGGAUGUGAGAGCAUGAUCCCCACCAUUGGGACUGAGACACUGCCCAGACACCUACGGGUGGCUGCAGUCGAGAAUCUUCGUCAAUGGGCGAAAGCCUGAACGAGCGACGCCGCGUGUGGGAUGAAGGCCCUUGGGUUGUAAACCACUGUCGAGGGGGAUGAAGGUUUCAAGGUACUCCUUGAAAUUUGACAGAGCCCUGGAGGAAGCACGGGCUAAGUUCGUGCCAGCAGCCGCGGUAAUAC